AUUGAACGCUGGCGGCAGGCCUAACACAUGCAAGUCGAACGGUAACAGGAAGCAGCUUGCUGCUUCGCUGACGAGUGGCGGACGGGUGAGUAAUGUCUGGGAAGCUGCCUGAUGGAGUGGGAUAACUACUGGAAACGGUAGCUAAUACCGCAUAAUGUCGCAAGACCAAAGAGGGGGACCUUCGGGCCUCUUGCCAUCGGAUGUGCCCAGAUGGGAUUAGCUUGUUGGUGGGGUAACGGCUCACCAAGGCGACGAUCCCUAGCUGGUCUGAGAGGAUGACCAGCCACACUGGAACUGAGACACGGUCCAGACUCCUACGGGAGGCAGCAGUGGGGAAUAUUGCACAAUGGGCGCAAGCCUGAUGCAGCCAUGCCGCGUGUAUGAAGAAGGCCUUCGGGUUGUAAAGUACUUUCAGCGGGGAGGAAGGGAGUAAAGUUAAUACCUUUGCUCAUUGACGUUACCCGCAGAAGAAGCACCGGCUAACUCC
Molecule: ribosomal RNA, 487 nt
Filed under: uncultured bacterium
Lineage: Bacteria
Description: partial 16S ribosomal RNA
Rfam family: Bacterial small subunit ribosomal RNA
Source: RNAcentral